UGUCCGGAUUUAUUGGGCGUAAAGCGAGCGCAGCGCGGUUUUUUAAGUCUGAUGUGAAAGCCUUCGCGCUCAACCGAAGAAGUGCAUCGGAAACUGGGAAACUUGAGUGCAGAAGAGGACAGUGGAACUCCAUGUGUAGCGGUGAAAUGCGUAGAUAUAUGGAAGAACACCAGUGGCGAAGGCGGCUGUCUGGUCUGUAACUGACGCUGAGGCUCGAAAGUAUGGGUAGCAAACAGGAUUAGAUACCCUGGUAGUCCAUACCGUAAACGAUGAAUGCUAAGUGUUGGAGGGUUUCCGCCCUUCAGUGCUGCAGCUAACGCAUUAAGCAUUCCGCCUGGGGAGUACGGCCGCAAGGCUGAAACUCAAAGGAAUUGACGGGGGCCCGCACAAGCGGGGGAGCAUGUGGUUUAAUUCGAAGCUACGCGAAGAACCUUACCAGGUCUUGACAUACUAUGCAAAUCUAAGAGAUUAGACGUUCCCUUCGGGGACAUGGAUACAGGUGGUGCAUGGUUGUCGUCAGCUCGUGUCGUGAGAUGUUGGGUUAAGUCCCGCAACGAGCGCAACCCUUUAUUAUCAGUUGCCAGCAUUAAGUUGGGCACUCUGGUGAGACUGCCGGGUGACAAACCGGAGGAAAGGUGGGGAUGACGUCAAAUCAUCAUGCCCCUUAUGACCUGGGCUACACACGUGCUACAAUGGAUGGUACAACGAGUUGCGAACUCGCGAGAGUAAGCUAAAUCUCUUAAAGCCAUUCUCAGUUCGGAUUGUAGGCUGCAACUCGCCUACAUGAAGUCGGAAUCGCUAAGUAAUCGCGGAAUCAGCAUGCCGCGGUGAAU
RNAcentral lists this ribosomal RNA (833 nucleotides) under Lactiplantibacillus plantarum. RNAcentral's name for it is "bacterial SSU rRNA". It matches the Rfam family "Bacterial small subunit ribosomal RNA", at positions 542 to 1367 of the family's 1533-position model. The record is from RNAcentral. Lineage: Bacteria; Bacillati; Bacillota; Bacilli; Lactobacillales; Lactobacillaceae.